AGAGUUUGAUCAUGGCUCAGAGCGAACGCUGGCGGCAGGCUUAACACAUGCAAGUCGAACGGGCACCUUCGGGUGUCAGUGGCAGACGGGUGAGUAACACGUGGGAACGUGCCCUUUGGUUCGGGACAACUCCGGGAAACUGGAGCUAAUACCGGAUAAGCCCUUCGGGGGAAAGAUUUAUUGCCAAAGGAUCGGCCCGCGUCUGAUUAGCUAGUUGGUGAGGUAAUGGCUCACCAAGGCGACGAUCAGUAGCUGGUCUGAGAGGAUGAUCAGCCACACUGGGACUGAGACACGGCCCAGACUCCUACGGGAGGCAGCAGUGGGGAAUAUUGGACAAUGGGCGCAAGCCUGAUCCCAGCCAUGCCGCGUGAGUGAUGAAGGCCCUAGGGUUGUAAAGCUCUUUUAGCGGGGAAGAUAAUGACGGUACCCGCAGAAUAAGCCCCGGCUAACUUCGUGCCAGCAGCCGCGGUAAUACGAAGGGGGCUAGCGUUGCUCGGAAUCACUGGGCGUAAAGGGCGCGUAGGCGGAUCUUUAAGUCGGGGGGUGAAAGCCCAGGGCUCAACCCUGGAAUUGCCUUCGAUACUGAAGAUCUCGAGACCGGAAGAGGUUAGUGGAACUGCGAGUGUAGAGGUGAAAUUCGUAGAUAUUCGCAAGAACACCAGUGGCGAAGGCGGCUAACUGGUCCGGUUCUGACGCUGAGGCGCGAAAGCGUGGGGAGCAAACAGGAUUAGAUACCCUAGUAGUCC
This 746-nucleotide ribosomal RNA is filed under the name uncultured bacterium. Its description in RNAcentral is "bacterial SSU rRNA". It matches the Rfam family "Bacterial small subunit ribosomal RNA", at positions 8 to 796 of the family's 1533-position model. The record is from RNAcentral.